Molecule: long non-coding RNA, 3904 nt
Organism: Alexandromys fortis (reed vole)
Lineage: Eukaryota; Metazoa; Chordata; Mammalia; Rodentia; Cricetidae
Exons: 3
Source: RefSeq, a predicted model, not a curated record
CUCAUGAUUACUCCUGCUUCCACCCACCCCCCAAGCUGUCAAUCCUGACUUGCAGCAGCUUCGGUGACUCCCCUCUGUGCCUUGCCAGUCCUCAUUCCUACCCGUCUGCUGUGUACGCGCAGGAGCAGUGACAACAGGGGAAGACUCUCACCUUUCUCCUCUGUUGUCCCGGAUCCUGAUGCUCAUGGCUCUGAACACAUCACUUAACCAUUCUGAGCCACAUCCGGUCCCAGCACAGAAUUUGGAACCUAAGUACAUGUGUCAAAUGGAUGAACUGACCAAUGGGGAGCCAUCCUGACCACGGGGAUGACAAGGUCAACGCCAAGUUCAUGUGCAAGUACCAAAGUAGAGCUAGAUGCUGUCUGCAGUCAAACUUUGUAAACGCCCAGGCUUUCCACAGCUGCAGAUAUAAAGAUGCAAGGAAAAGGAAUCAGCCCACACCGUGAGCGUGCAGAGCCCAGCACAGAGCAGCCUGCACCCAGGGCUGACCAGUGGGGACAUUCAGCACGCUGAAGAACUCUGAGAGAGAGGCUAGCUGCUCAAACCCUCUCAGCGUGCUUGCUUUAAACUCCAAGAUGCUUCUGUGUAGCGUGAAUUCUAAUUGGUCUUAAUAAUAAAAACCUGGAGUCAGAUAUCGGGGUAAGUGCUGAAAGAUUAAAGGCACUAAAAAACCAGCCACUAGAGAGACAGACCCUUUACCUCUACCGAAUCCUCAGACCAAGGUGGGCAAGAUCCUGUCCCCACAAACCCUCAGACUGAAUGCAUGAGCCCCUGUCUCCUCCCGCCUUAUAUUCCUAUCUUUGCCCAGCCAUAUCCCUUCCUGUCUCCACCUUCCUAGUGCUGGGAUUAAAGGUGUGUGACUUCCCAAGUACUGGGAUUAAAGGUGUGAGCCAUCACUGCCUGGCUCUGUUUCUCUUUUAGAUUGGAUCAAUCUUGUGUAGCCUAGGAUGGCCUUGAACUCACAGAGACCCGUCUGCCUCUGUCUCCAGAGUACUGGGAUUAAAGGUGUGCGCCACCACUGCCUGGCCUCUAUGGCUAACUAACGUGGCUAGCUCUGCACUCUGAUCUUCAGGCAAGCUUUAUUUGUUAUAGUAAAAACAAACUCUCACUGCAUUUCUGUGCUCUCUCUUGAAUAUUAACUGCCUUCCUAGGAGUCCCCUGGGGCUUUACCACCAGCCUCCCUGGGCUCUGCUGAGUGAGGCAAGUAGCCUUUCCAUCCUGGCAGCCUAGAUGCCACUCACGCACACGGAGUAGAUGUCUUCAGUGCCAGGGCUGUAGCUGCCAGCCUGGCCUCUGCCUUCUGUGCCAGUACCAGGACCUUGAUGGAGUGUCCAUGAGUUUGAGGAGAGUCUUAUCCGGGGUGGGCUUGUUUUAUCUACAGCAAUGCAUCAGCGGCUGCCUGCCUCCCACCUGCCUCAGGAAGGCCCAUUGGCUCUGGGGAUGUCUGAGCUGCUGCUGCUGAAUCCUCUGUCGGUGCUGAGCCUGUGGCCAGCAUCUCAGGAUGCCAGGGCAUGCUCCUGCUCUGCAGACUAUUUCUGCAUCCUGAGGAAAUGCCACUAUCCAUCUUUUCACUCACAGAGACCCACGAGAGAACGUUCUGUCACAUCUUAGUUCAAGGAAAACUGGCGCUGCUUCUGAACAAGGGGGAAGAUUUAUUUUUUUUAUGGCUUUGGUAAAUCUGGUGUCUUAGUUUCCAAGUUAGCCUUGACUGCUAAAUUCAGUCAAAUCUACAUUCAGGCAUAGCUCUGGUGUAGUAUCCUUAAGCAUGAAAAAAGAGCAAAGACUAUCUAAAAUAGAGCUACAUACAGGCAGAUGUUAGCCCGGCUGUAUACUGCUCUGAGUUGGAAAUGACUAAACUUAUAAAAUUCCAACAACUCAAUAAAACCAAUCAAUCAAUAAGUAAAUAAAAAGAUUUACAUAAAAAAAUAAAAUAAAAUAAAUUCCAACAAAGUGUUUCUAUGGACAUUCUUGGCCUUGUACCCUUGCGCCAUCUUCUUGGACUGUGAGCUUAUCUUUCCCACUAAUCCCCCCCCCAGGGGUCUGGUUGAUGGUUCAGUGAUUAAAAGCGCUUGCUGCUCCCCUAGAGGGCUCAAGUUCAGUCUCCACCGCCCACAUUGGACUUCUUAUGAUGCCCUAUAACUCCAUCGUAGGGGAUCUGAUGUCCUCUUCUGACCUCCUCUGGCACUGGCACAGACUUGGCAUUCAUCUCCACAAACAGACAGACACACACAUAAAUAGACAUACAAAUAAAUCUUAAACCUGGUAUGGUGGCAUACCUCUUUAUUCCCAUCACUUGGGAGGCUGAAGCAUGUGGAUCCCUGUGUAUCUGAAACCAGCCUGGUUUAACCUAGCAAGUUCCCAGGAUAGCUAAAGCUACAUAGAGAGACCCGGUCUCAAAUAAAUAAAUAAAUAAAUAAAUAAAUAAAUAGAGGCUGGAGAGAUGGCUCAGUGGUUAAAAGCACUGACUGCUCUUCCUGAAGUCCUGAGUUCAGUUCCCAGCACUGACAUGGAAACUCAUAACCAUUUAUAACUAUAGUCUCAUGUAAUUCUCAUGGAAUCUGCUGCCCUCUUCUGGUGUGCAGAUGUACAUGUAGAUAAAACAAUAAAACAUCCAUGGACAUAAAUAAAUCCUUUUUUUUAGUGGACUACCCUUGGGCUGGAGAAUUGGCUCAGUGCUUGAGAGCAUUGCCUGCUCUUCCAAAGGUUCCGAGUUCAAUUCCCGGCAACCACAUGGUGGCUCACAACCAUCUGUAAUGAGGUCUGGUGCCCUCUUCUGGCCUGUCAUACACACAGACAGAAUAUUGUAUACAUAAUAAAUAAAAAAAGAAGUGGACUACCCUUCUCACAUGCUCAGCCCCUUCCUGGUGCUGAGGCUGCUGUCUAGGGUGCUGCAAGGACCAUUACUGUGCCUGUUUCUUUGUGUGUUUACAGGAAAGAACUCUGAGCCAGGACUUCCCUCUUCGGUGAGACUGCAAGGCUGGGCAGCCCAUCCUUAGCUUUCUGAGCAAGGCGAUGAGUUCUGCACGACUGGCGAGGAUGUGAGGGCCUGGGGUCCUCACCAUUUCUCCUCACUUUACACUACUUUUGCCUAAGUCUUGUUUAGUAUUUCAUCCCCUAUACUCCGAUCUCCCCGAUGCCUUCAUUUUCAUCGUACUGUGUGCUUCUGUGAACACCCAUUUCUCCACUUUCUCCCCAUUUCUUCUGAACAAAAACAGCAUAAAUAUCUACAUAUAAAUAAAGAAAAAUCCAGUGAGUCUCCAUGGACGAAGAAUACAACGCAGAGAGGGAAGCCUGAAGACCUUGAGGCCCCCAGAAUCAAGAGGAUCACUCACUAUAGGACUAAGCCUGGUGGAGUGAUUUCUUCUACUGCUGCUGUGGUGCUGGGGCUCGAACCCAGAUCCUCUGGUAUGGCCACAGAAUGAGUUACAGGAGAUAAAAUCCAGGAGGCCUGUCUUCCAGGCCUUCAAAAUAACGACCAUUGGGAUUGAACGACUCAUCUAGAUGAAGGCUAUCUGAGGCUUCUGGGCUGGAAGAGCGGCAGUGAGACCGUCUGUGAGACUGCCCAGGACCACGUGUGAUGAGCACCCAGUGUCUUAGGUGAAUCAGGUCAUCCAGCGGAAGAUUUUUAUCUUAAGUUCCUCCCCGGCUUCCGUGUAAGCAGCAGCUAUAUUUAGCUACGUAGAUGGCAACUGCUUCUGCCCGACUGGACAGCCUCCCUGCUUGCAGUUGAAAGCUAAGGCAGCGUGGGCAUUUCAAGAGGGCAAAGAUAUGUUAAUACACUCGGAUGAAUUUGAACAUCCACAGACUUUUAUACGGUCAGGGAAAAAAUUAGGAGAAUAAUCCCAUGUAAAGCUUUUCAUUUCGAUAUUAAAGCAACAUCUCUUGAUGGGUGUUCUACUUUGAA